This 355-nucleotide ribosomal RNA is filed under the name uncultured bacterium. RNAcentral describes it as "bacterial SSU rRNA". It matches the Rfam family "Bacterial small subunit ribosomal RNA", at positions 535 to 896 of the family's 1533-position model. The record is from RNAcentral.
CAAGCGUUGUCCGGAAUGAUUGGGCGUAAAGCAUCUGUAGGUGGUUUUUAAAGUCGACUGUUAAAGCCCAGGGCUUAACUUUGGAAAAGCGGUCGAGCACUUAAGAACUUGAGUUUGGUAGGGGUAGAGGGAAUUCCUAGUGGAGCGGUGAAAUGCACAGAGAUUAGGAAGAACACCGACGGCGAAAGCACUCUACUGGGCCAUGACUGACACUGAGAGAUGAAAGUUGGGGGAGCGAAGAGGAUUAGAUACCCUCGUAGUCCCAACCGUAAACGAUGGGUACUAAGUGCUGGCAACACCAGUGCUGUAGCUAACGCGUUAAGUACCCCGCCUGGGGAGUAUGCUCGCAAGAGUG